This 427-nucleotide ribosomal RNA is filed under the name Bacillaceae bacterium N-14-25-6. Its description in RNAcentral is "bacterial SSU rRNA". It matches the Rfam family "Bacterial small subunit ribosomal RNA", at positions 56 to 472 of the family's 1533-position model. Lineage: Bacteria; Bacillati; Bacillota; Bacilli; Caryophanales; Bacillaceae. The record is from RNAcentral.
UGCGAGCGGACAGAUGGGAGCUUGCUCCCUGAUGUUAGCGGCGGACGGGUGAGUAACACGUGGGUAACCUGCCUGUAAGACUGGGACAACUCCGGGAAACCGGGGCUUAUACCGGAUGGUUGUUUGAACCGCAUGGUUCCAAACAUAAAAGGUGGCUUCGGCUACCACUUACAGAUGGACCCGUGGCGCAUUAGCUAGUUGGUGAGGUAACGGCUCACCACGGCAACUGAUGCGUAGCCGACCUGAGAGGGUGAUCGGCCACACUGGGACUGAGACACGGCCCAGACUCCUACGGGAGGCAGCAGUAAGGGUAAUCUUCCGCUAAUGGACGAAGAGUACUAACGGAGCGAACGCCGCGUGAGUGAUGAAGGUUUUCGGAUCGUAAAGCUCUGUUGUUAGGGCAAGAACCGAGUACCGUUCGGAUAGG